CAGCAGCCGCGGUAAUACGUAGGUGGCAAGCGUUGUCCGGAAUUAUUGGGCGUAAAGGGCUCGCAGGCGGUUUCUUAAGUCUGAUGUGAAAGCCCCCGGCUCAACCGGGGAGGGUCAUUGGAAACUGGGAAACUUGAGUGCAGAAGAGGAGAGUGGAAUUCCACGUGUAGCGGUGAAAUGCGUAGAGAUGUGGAGGAACACCAGUUGCGAAGGCGACUCUCUGGUCUGUAACUGACGCUGAGGAGCGAAAGCGUGGGGAGCGAACAGGAUUAGAUACCCGAGUAGUCCCUGUCUCUUAUAC
RNAcentral lists this ribosomal RNA (301 nucleotides) under uncultured bacterium. Its description in RNAcentral is "partial 16S ribosomal RNA". It matches the Rfam family "Bacterial small subunit ribosomal RNA", at positions 509 to 807 of the family's 1533-position model. The record is from RNAcentral.